Apis dorsata (giant honeybee) is the source of this 478-nucleotide long non-coding RNA. RefSeq lists it as uncharacterized. The transcript has 3 exons. The record is from RefSeq and is a predicted model, not a curated record. Lineage: Eukaryota; Metazoa; Arthropoda; Insecta; Hymenoptera; Apidae.
AAAAUUCGUCGAGGGAGAGAACCGCGGCCCGUUCGAUUUCACGUUGGAAAAGCGAAUGGGACGUUGCAUCGUAUUAAUAGUAAUGUCGCAUGAACGUCAUGGGGGUAGCGUUGCGGUUUACAUUCACUCGGCUAACCCCUAACCAUUACGCGUGACGUAACCUAACAUCCUAUUAUUGUUAUACGUAGAGAUGCACAGAGUGGUACACGAUUAUGCAUAUAACCGUGCACGGUCUCCGUUAUUGACGGACAAUUACUGUUUAUCGUUCGCAAACGCCACUAUCUUAAUCAGUUUCGUUGUUACUCAACCGUUUGCUCGUCUUCCAUCUUCGAGAAUACAAGAUAACCAGAAUAGAAGCGAAUGGAAACGAAUCAACUUCGUUACAUCAUCGUAUAGAAUAUAUAGAAAUCUUUUGCGACUUUUCGUUUCGUCGAAAUAAAAUUAUUUUAAACAUUUCGUUCCCAACUUCCUUCUAAAU